Otolemur garnettii (small-eared galago) is the source of this 142-nucleotide small nuclear RNA. Its record names the gene U4. It matches the Rfam family "U4 spliceosomal RNA". Rfam says of the family: U4 small nuclear RNA (U4 snRNA) is a component of the major U2-dependent spliceosome. The structure of U4 snRNA from yeast and human has been reported. Lineage: Eukaryota; Metazoa; Chordata; Mammalia; Primates; Galagidae. The record is from Ensembl.
AGCUUUGCGCAAUGUCAGUAUCAUAGCCAAUGAGGUAUAUCUAAGGCACAAUUAUUGCUAAUUGAAAACUCUUCCCAAUACCCCGCCACGACAACUUGCAAUAUAGUUGGCACUGGCAAUUUUUUUUUUGAGACAGAGCCUC